GGUUAAGCGACUAAGCGUACACGGUGGAUGCCCUGGCAGUCAGAGGCGAUGAAGGGCGUGCUAAUCUGCGAUAAGCGCCGGUAAGGUGAUAUGAACCGUUAUAACCGGCGAUACCCGAAUGGGGAAACCCAGUGUGUUUCGACACACUAUCAUUAACUGAAUCCAUAGGUUAAUGAGGCGAACCGGGGGAACUGAAACAUCUAAGUACCCCGAGGAAAAGAAAUCAACCGAGAUUCCCCCAGUAGCGGCGAGCGAACGGGGAGGAGCCCAGAGCCUGAAUCAGCAUGUGUGUUAGUGGAAGCGUCUGGAAAGGCGCGCGAUACAGGGUGACAGCCCCGUACACAAAAGCGCAUGUGCUGUGAGCUCGAUGAGUAGGGCGGGACACGUGGUAUCCUGUCUGAAUAUGGGGGGACCAUCCUCCAAGGCUAAAUACUCCUGACUGACCGAUAGUGAACCAGUACCGUGAGGGAAAGGCGAAAAGAACCCCGGCGAGGGGAGUGAAAAAGAACCUGAAACCGUGUACGUACAAGCAGUGGGAGCCCCACCACUAAGCCAGUGGUGAACUCCACAUACGCAUCCUUUGCUGAGGAUACGGUUAACGGAGCGAAAGCGACGUUCAACCUCAAAAGAAGCAGAGGGGGCUUAGUGGUGGGGUGACUGCGUACCUUUUGUAUAAUGGGUCAGCGACUUAUAUUCUGUAGCAAGGUUAACCGAAUAGGGGAGCCGGAGGGAAACCGAGUCUUAACCGGGCGUUAAGUUGCAGGGUAUAGACCCGAAACCCGGUGAUCUAGCCAUGGGCAGGUUGAAGGUUGGGUAACACUAACUGGAGGACCGAACCGACUAAUGUUGAAAAAUUAGCGGAUGACCUGUGGCUGGGGGUGAAAGGCCAAUCAAACCGGGAGAUAGCUGGUUCUCCCCGAAAGCUAUUUAGGUAGCGCCUCGUGAAUUCAUCUCCGGGGGUAGAGCACUGUUUCGGCUAGGGGGCCAUCCCGGCUUACCAACCCGAUGCAAACUGCGAAUACCGGAGAAUGUUAUCACGGGAGACACACGGCGGGUGCUAACGUCCGUCGUGAAGAGGGAAACAACCCAGACCGCCAGCUAAGGUCCCAAAGUCAUGGUUAAGUGGGAAACGAUGUGGGAAGGCCCAGACAGCCAGGAUGUUGGCUUAGAAGCAGCCAUCAUUUAAAGAAAGCGUAAUAGCUCACUGGUCGAGUCGGCCUGCGCGGAAGAUGUAACGGGGCUAAACCAUGCACCGAAGCUGCGGCAGCGACGCUGAUGCGUUGUUGGGUAGGGGAGCGUUCUGUAAGCCUGCGAAGGUGGCCUGUGAGGGUUGCUGGAGGUAUCAGAAGUGCGAAUGCUGACAUAAGUAACGAUAAAGCGGGUGAAAAGCCCGCUCGCCGGAAGACCAAGGGUUCCUGUCCAACGUUAAUCGGGGCAGGGUGAGUCGACCCCUAAGGCGAGGCCGAAAGGCGUAGUCGAUGGGAAACGGGUUAAUAUUCCCGUACUUGGUGUUACUGCGAAGGGGGGACGGAGAAGGCUAUGUUGGCCGGGCGACGGUUGUCCCGGUUUAAGCGUGUAGGUGUGUGUUCCAGGUAAAUCCGGUUCACUUUAACACUGAGGCGUGAUGACGAGGCACUACGGUGCUGAAGCAACAAAUGCCCUGCUUCCAGGAAAAGCCUCUAAGCAUCAGGUAACAUCAAAUCGUACCCCAAACCGACACAGGUGGUCAGGUAGAGAAUACCAAGGCGCUUGAGAGAACUCGGGUGAAGGAACUAGGCAAAAUGGUGCCGUAACUUCGGGAGAAGGCACGCUGACACGUAGGUGAAGUGAUUUACUCAUGGAGCUGAAGUCAGUCGAAGAUACCAGCUGGCUGCAACUGUUUAUUAAAAACACAGCACUGUGCAAACACGAAAGUGGACGUAUACGGUGUGACGCCUGCCCGGUGCCGGAAGGUUAAUUGAUGGGGUCAGCGCAAGCGAAGCUCCUGAUCGAAGCCCCGGUAAACGGCGGCCGUAACUAUAACGGUCCUAAGGUAGCGAAAUUCCUUGUCGGGUAAGUUCCGACCUGCACGAAUGGCGUAAUGAUGGCCAGGCUGUCUCCACCCGAGACUCAGUGAAAUUGAACUCGCUGUGAAGAUGCAGUGUACCCGCGGCAAGACGGAAAGACCCCGUGAACCUUUACUAUAGCUUGACACUGAACAUUGAGCCUUGAUGUGUAGGAUAGGUGGGAGGCUUUGAAGUGUGGACGCCAGUCUGCAUGGAGCCGGCCUUGAAAUACCACCCUUUAAUGUUUGAUGUUCUAACGUGGACCCGUGAUCCGGGUUGCGGACAGUGUCUGGUGGGUAGUUUGACUGGGGCGGUCUCCUCCUAAAGAGUAACGGAGGAGCACGAAGGUUGGCUAAUCCUGGUCGGACAUCAGGAGGUUAGUGCAAUGGCAUAAGCCAGCUUGACUGCGAGCGUGACGGCGCGAGCAGGUGCGAAAGCAGGUCAUAGUGAUCCGGUGGUUCUGAAUGGAAGGGCCAUCGCUCAACGGAUAAAAGGUACUCCGGGGAUAACAGGCUGAUACCGCCCAAGAGUUCAUAUCGACGGCGGUGUUUGGCACCUCGAUGUCGGCUCAUCACAUCCUGGGGCUGAAGUAGGUCCCAAGGGUAUGGCUGUUCGCCAUUUAAAGUGGUACGCGAGCUGGGUUUAGAACGUCGUGAGACAGUUCGGUCCCUAUCUGCCGUGGGCGCUGGAGAACUGAGGGGGGCUGCUCCUAGUACGAGAGGACCGGAGUGGACGCAUCACUGGUGUUCGGGUUGUCAUGCCAAUGGCACUGCCCGGUAGCUAAAUGCGGAAGAGAUAAGUGCUGAAAGCAUCUAAGCACGAAACUUGCCCCGAGAUGAGUUCUCCCUGAGACUUAGAGUCUCCUGAAGGAACGUUGAAGACGACGACGUUGAUAGGCCGGGUGUGUAAGCGCAGCGAUGCGUUGAGCUAACCGGUACUAAUGAACCGUGAGGCUUAACCUU
Molecule: ribosomal RNA, 3007 nt
Filed under: Salmonella enterica
Lineage: Bacteria; Pseudomonadati; Pseudomonadota; Gammaproteobacteria; Enterobacterales; Enterobacteriaceae
Also listed under: 1 other name
Description: 23S ribosomal RNA
Rfam family: Bacterial large subunit ribosomal RNA
Source: RNAcentral